Long non-coding RNA from Labeo rohita (rohu), 5362 nucleotides. RefSeq lists it as uncharacterized. The record is from RefSeq and is a predicted model, not a curated record. NCBI's taxonomy places the organism in Eukaryota, Metazoa, Chordata, Actinopteri, Cypriniformes, Cyprinidae. The transcript is spliced from 6 exons.
GUCCCGCUUUUUAUAGGACUAGUAAGGAUUUGAAUGAAAAACAACACGCCUCCACACCCGUGCCGCCUCCUCACAUGGAGGGGAUUACCUCCCGUCAACUCUCCUGUCUGGAGGAGAGAGAGGUAGAUGCGAUCAAACGCAACAUGCUGCUCGUUAGAUUGCUUGACAGCUACACUUUGGAAUUCAUCGGUGCUUGUAAUGCAUCGCGUCAAUGAUAAAAAAAAAAAAAAAAAAUCCUCUCGUUGAACACUAGAUGCUGUCAGAGAUGUUUGACAUGACAGUUGUGUUUUUAACCGGUUCAUCUUGUCGGGACAUGAACUUGGUGAAGUCGACAGAGAGAUAGACUGAUGAGAUAGAUGUUAGGUCGUUUGACAUGGCAGUUACAAUAUUUUAAUGCACUGCUGGUUUAAAUCCAUCCUGUCGAGACAUGUUUCUUAGAAUUCUGUUUGGACUCUCUUUCUGACGGCACCCAUUCACUCCAUUGGUGAGCAAGUGAUGGAAUGACACAUUUCUACAAAUGUAAUGAAGAACCAAACUCAUCCUAAUCUUGAAUGACCUGAGGGGCUCUCCUCAGUGUGUGGCCCCUCAUCUCAGCUCAGCUCGAAUCGAACCGUCACCUCAUCACAUCCACUGACAGGUUGGUUGCAACGCCAAAGCUAACGGAUCGCUGCUUUCAGAUCUGCUCUGAUCCAGGUCUGUUCUCCGGCACGGCGUCCUCAGAUGAACUCGCACAGCCUGUCAGACGGAGGAGGAGGAGGAGGAGGAGGAGGAGGAGGAAAUGCGAUGGACGGCACACUGCUGCUGCUUAUCUGAGCCAACACAGAGACGCAGAGAAUCCCUGCUGACACUCAGAAACUGAGAGAGAGACUGAGGCCAAUCUGUGUCUGAUACAGUACAGAUCAAACAGAUGAACGACUGAAAACAGCCUGAAACUCCUGUAGAUGAAUGCUCAGUGUUUCUUCACUGAGGCCGUAUUAAUAAUCAAUCCAUCACUCCAUAACACAGUCAAACAGUAACAAUAUUCAUCCAUAAUCAUUCAUUAUGAAGCAAGGCACAUUCAAUAUCAUCUUGACCCGUCAGAGAGGUAAGUGCAAAAUAGAUGGUGAUUCUGGAUGGAUUUAACAAAUAUGUUCUGUAAUAUUUUCAGACAACAGCCAAAACAAUAUCUACACAUUUCAUUUUCAUGACAUGACACGUUUAAUAUCGAGCAAAUGUUUCAUAAUUGAUGAAGAUCUAGAAUUUCACAUUGUGCGUCUUAAACUGCUUUUUUUCAAUUGCAACUUUAUAGAGAGAGAAAAAAUACAAGGACAAAUAAAAUAUAGAUGCCGUGACAAAAUAAUAAUUGGGGUACAUUUCACAGGAAAAUGCUAUUUCAGUCUUUCUAUGUAAACAUUUUAUGUAAUUGUACCAAUAUUUUAGACAUUUCCAUGAUGUUUUAACAGGGUUCGUACAAAAUGCUUAAUUUGACUUUAAAAUUUAAGGCCUGGCAAACCUUUGAAAAUAUUAAUAUUCCUGAAGAGGUACUUGAAAAGUGCUGGAAUUAUUGUGUUUAAUUUUGUCGAUAAGCACAUAUCUUUUAAUGCAAAAUUCACACAAUUAAAAAACAUAUUUUUCGCUUAUUUCAGUUAAUGUCAGAAAACAAUCGAGCCAAGCCAGUAGUAGUACUGAUAGUAUCCUGUAAACAUGGCUAAAGACGUGAAAAGAGGAACAGAUGAACUGAAUCAAUUGAGUCAUUUGAUUCAAACUCGUGACUCUAUCAUUCAUUUCAAGCGAUUCACUUGCAAAAACUAGAUCAAAUCAAAAGCCAUUCAUUUUCGCAUUUCAGCAUAGCUUGUAAUGAUUCACAAAAGCAUGUAGUGAUGGGUGAAACGAAGCUUUUCAAAACUUUGAAUCAGUUAAACCAAUAAUCCAGUCUUUCGAAGCGUUCCAACCGGAUCGCGUAUCAUUUGAUUCAGAUCGGGACUUCAAAUUGCGUAUUGCAAAUCAUUUGAUUUAGAUCAGAACGGGUUGGUGAAUCAUUUUGCGAAUUAAAUGAUUCAAAUCAAAUGAUUCUCGAUACACAAAGUUUUAAUCUAAGUCAAAUGAUUCACGUGUUGCGCUUUAGCGAAUCAUUUGACUUAGAUCAGGACUACAAUGCGGGUUCGCGAAUCACUUGUUUCAGAUCAGGAUUUCGAAGCAAUUUCGCAAAUCUUUUUUUCAGUUUUUAAACAGUAGAAAAUAUCAAACCAUUCAGGCAGUGCAGUUAUAAAAACAAAACAAAGAAAAAGUUUGUAAAAAAAAUUGUAUUAGUAUAUUUUUAUUUGUCUAUUUCUCUCUUUUUUUUAGAAUGUGAAUUAGAAGACAUCUUUUAAUAAGUGAGAUCUCUGAUUGAAGUCCUUAAAAAUAAAAAAAGUAGUGCUUGAAAGUCCUGGAAUUUAAUUUUAUAGUAUCUGUACGAACCCUGUUAUAAUAAUUGUAUUAAUUUCAAUGAAAUAAUGUAUAAUUCCGUACCAUUUCCUGACCAUUAUUAUAUUUCAUAAGUCAUUUAAAUUACUGCACUAUUUGCGUUUACAUUAUUAAACACUAAUCAUUAAAUUAUAAUAGUGGUUGUCUAAUUAAUACUUCUUUAUUAUAAUUAAAUUAUAAUUAUAAAAUGUAAUUUAAUUUAAAUGUGAGAUUAUGGCAAUUAAGCACAUUGCAAUUCUAAUUAUCAUUUUCUUUAAGUGAAAUAUAAUUUAAAGCAGAAAGAAAGAUUUUAAUUAUUCUCCAUUAAUGCUAAUAAGUGAAUUCUUAUUCUAACAAAUUAAAGGCAGUGCAAAAUAACUGGUGCAAAAUACCUUUUUUUCUUUUAAUUUUGGGGUAAAAUUAUGACUGGGACGUGCACAAUUAUCUGAAACACAUACAUUAAUGCUGUGAUCGUUAGAUGCUUUCUUCAGUGCAAGGUUUCUCAUCACGAGAUCCGAUCUACGGACACCGACCUGAGAACCCGAACCGACACCUCGUACACGGCAAAAACCACCAUGUUGACGGGAAACGCCCGCAGGCAGUUUAUUUCCAGGCUUUUGAAGAAAAUCCUCGGCCCUUCGUUCCGUACGGUCUCAGUCACGCAGUGAACGAGUCCUCGGUAUCUCCUCUCUCCUCGAACGCCGUCCAUCUGCAGACGGGCUUUGAUCACGUCCAUGGGCGUCCCGACAGACCAGCCGGCCAUUCCCGCAACUCCACCGGCCAACAGCACCGCCGGCCACUCUGACGACAUCGACACACAUUUAACCCUAUAAAGCCUUUCUAAAGCCUCUGAACAACCAAUAUAACCUUCUCCAUGUCUUCUGAUAGUUUAGAGUUUUUUUUAUUAAGUUAAAAGGUGAGUAAACAACAGAAUUGAAAUGUUUGGGGUUUGAUUCACCUGGCUCUUUCUGUCCUGCCGGCGUGAGCUGUGAACACAGUGUGCUGUAGGUCAGGAAGUAGGUGGCGAACGACGGCCCGUCCCUGAAGGCCAGAGGAAGAGCUCCUCUGUAAAGGCCCGAGAUGCCCUCGUCUCUGGCGAUGCUCAGCAGGCAGUGGAUCGGCCCCCUGUAUUUGGGUUUGAGUCCGCUCCUCUUGCUCUCGGUCUGACACUGAAGACGGACCUUCACUAUGUCGCCGGGUGACAUUACAGAGAUCUAAGAACACAGAAUAUGUGACAUAAUGAAUGUUUUGAUCACUUUCUCAAAUAUUUAUUACAAUAUAGAUAAGAGAUACAGAUAAAUGCAGUGUUGGGAAGGUUACUUUGGAAAUGUAACGGGUUACAGAUUACAAGUUACUUGAUUUAAAAUGUAAUGAGUAGUGUAACUUUUCAAUUUCUUUAUUAAAGUAAUGUAACAUUAUUUUUAAUUACUUUUGAUUACUUUUCUAAAUUUCUAAUUUUUUCAACUGUUAAUCAUUUUGAAACAUUUAAACCAGGUAGAGUGAACCUUACAGUAGCACUCAACACUGAUUACUGUCAGACUUUCACAAUCCUGUAUCACUUGAAUUAAGAUUAUAAUAAGUAAGGGAUAAUAUACAUCUUUAUUUUGCGAUAACAACUGGCUGAAUGUACAUUAUCCCUCUUAUUACACAUCUGCUUGAUAGAUUAUUAGAUGUUUUGUGUCAAAAUUAUUAGACACGAAACACUGAUCUGAGUUGAAAUAUAUGAACGCAAAGCUUCCAUGAAGAAAUCAGUUGCCAGCAAACGGCAAGUUCAACCUAGACAUUUUAGGGACACAGUGCAGUCAUACCAGUUUUCUUACACAACAUUUCACCACAUAAAUAAUUAAGUAGUAGUACUAGUUUGUUAGUUAUCUUAUAAUCCAUUACAAUGUACAAAAAAAAAAAAUGGCAACAGUUGUGUUUGUAUGAAACAAUAAAGCAAAUCCGCAAUACCAGGAUGACAGAAUUAAGAAACUGUACACAUAAUAUUGAAUUAAGCUUUAAUAUUUUAGCUAACAAAACGCAAAGCUUCCGCCAAGAAAAAUUAUCAAGCAUAUAGCACUGACUUUUUUUUUUUACUAAUAUUUUUGGGCUUUUUAUGCCUUUUAUUGUGAUAGGACAGUAGAGAGAUGACAGGAAAGAGCCGGGAGGAGAGAGGGGAGCGGGAUCGGCAAAGGAUCUCGAGACGGGAAUCGAACUCGGGUCACCGUGAGCGCAGUUGUGCUAUAUGUCAUAACAAGAUCAUAAUAAAAAUAACAUCAUAACAACGAAAUAGCUAUGAUACUGGGUUUGAAAUCAAAUGUUUGCAUAGUUAUGACAGAAAACACUAGCAUCUAACAAUGCCUUGGAAAAAACUAUCUUAAAAAAUAAAGUUUAUGCAUAAACCCAAAUAGGAAAUUAAACAGUUAUUGAAUAAGCACGUGUCCUGUUCUGUGUCCUAAACUCCUGAAAUAUUGGUGUCUCAUUUUAGAGCAGUCAAUGCAAUUUAAAAGAAGUCAAUUGAAUCUGCAAGUGGGGGUGGGUGGGUGAAAAAAUUCAGAUGUAAUCCCCUUUGUAAUCACUGGCAUUUUUCAAAAGUAACUGUAAUUUAAUUACACAUUUUUUCUCAGUAACUGUAACUAAUUACAAUUACAUUUAUUUUGUAAUUAAAUUACGUAAUUCCGUUACAUGUAACUAGUUACUCCCCAACACUGGAUAAAUGUAAGAUUGACUUGAAUGGUAUGAGAUGACUGGAUGCUUUCAGCUGAUUCCUAUUGAACUGUCAGCAACUGAACUCCAUCAUAACACACAAUGUUUCCAUCUAACAUGUACAGUCAUGUGAAAAAGUUUGAACACCCUACUGAAUUCCGUGGUUUUCUGAAUCAGGACAUCAUUAAAACAAAUCUGGUCCUUGGUUGCUCUUAAAAUUUUGAAAAUAAAACCUCAGAUGAACAACAAC